RNAcentral lists this ribosomal RNA (253 nucleotides) under uncultured bacterium. RNAcentral's name for it is "partial 16S ribosomal RNA". It matches the Rfam family "Bacterial small subunit ribosomal RNA", at positions 524 to 776 of the family's 1533-position model. The record is from RNAcentral.
UACGUAGGGGGCAAGCGUUGUCCGGAAUUAUUGGGCGUAAAGAGCGCGUAGGCGGUCCGAUAAGUCGGCUGUGAAAGUCAGGGGCUCAACCCUUGAAAGCCGGCCGAUACUGUCGGACUAGAGUCCGGAAGAGGCAAGUGGAAUUCCCGGUGUAGCGGUGAAAUGCGCAGAUAUCGGGAGGAACACCGAUGGCGAAGGCAGGUCUCUGGGCAUUAACUGACGCUGAGGAGCGAAAGCAUGGGGAGCGAACAGG